UUCCGGUAACUCCGGUAUAGCCUUUCGAAAGAAAGAUUAAUCCCGGAUAGUAUGGUGAUUCCGCAUGGUUCUCCAUUAAAGGAUUCCGGUUACCGAUGGGAUGCGUUCCAUUAGGCAGUUGGCGGGGUAACGGCCCACCAAACCGUACGAUGGAUAGGGGUUCUGAGAGGAAGGUCCCCCACAUUGGAACUGAGACACGGUCCAAACUCCUACGGGAGGCAGCAGUGAGGAAUAUUGGUCAAUGGGCGGAAGCCUGAACCAGCCAAGUAGCGUAGAAGGAUGACUGCCCUAUGGGUUGUAAACUUCUUUUAUAAGGGAAUAAUUGCGGGUACGCGUACCUGUUUGCAUGUACCUUAUGAAUAAGGAUCGGCUAACUCCGUGCCAGCCGCUGC
Molecule: ribosomal RNA, 392 nt
Filed under: uncultured bacterium
Lineage: Bacteria
Description: bacterial SSU rRNA
Rfam family: Bacterial small subunit ribosomal RNA
Source: RNAcentral